AUUGAACGCUGGCGGAAUGCUUUACACAUGCAAGUCGAACGGCAGCACGGACUUCGGUCUGGUGGCGAGUGGCAAACGGGUGAGUAAUGUAUCGGAACGUGCCCAGUCGUGGGGGAUAACGUAGCGAAAGCUACGCUAAUACCGCAUACGAUCUACGGAUGAAAGCGGGGGAUCGCAAGACCUCGCGCGAUUGGAGCGGCCGAUAUCAGAUUAGGUUGUUGGUGGGGUAAAAGCUCACCAAGCCUGCGAUCUGUAGCUGGUCUGAGAGGACGACCAGCCACACUGGAACUGAGACACGGUCCAGACUCCUACGGGAGGCAGCAGUGGGGAAUUUUGGACAAUGGACGCAAGUCUGAUCCAGCAAUGCCGCGUGCAGGACGAAGGCCUUCGGGUUGUAAACUGCUUUUGUACGGAACGAAACGGUGAGCUCUAAUACAGUUUGCUAAUGACGGUACCGUAAGAAUAAGCACCGGCUAACUACGUGCCAGCCGCCGCAGUAA
Molecule: ribosomal RNA, 500 nt
Filed under: uncultured bacterium
Lineage: Bacteria
Description: partial 16S ribosomal RNA
Rfam family: Bacterial small subunit ribosomal RNA
Source: RNAcentral